GUGAGGAAUUUUCCGCAAUGGGCGAAAGCCUGACGGAGCAAUGCCGCGUGAAGGAUGAAGGCCUAUGGGUUGUAAACUUCUUUUCUCAGAAAAGAAUUAUGACGGUAUCUGAGGAAUAAGCAUCGGCUAACUCUGUGCCAGCAGCCGCGGUAAGACAGAGGAUGCAAGCGUUAUCCGGAAUGAUUGGGCGUAAAGCGUCUGUAGGUUGUUUAAAAAGUAUUCUGUAAAAGAUUAGGGCUUAACCCUAGAUAGGCAGAAUAAACUUUUAAGCUAGAGUUUGGUAGAGGCAGAGGGAAUUCCCGGUGGAGCGGUGAAAUGCGUAGAUAUCGGGAGGAACACCAAAGGCGAAGGCACUCUGCUGGGCCAAUACUAACACUGAGAGACGAAAGCGAGGGGAGCAAAUGGGAUUAGAAACCCCAGUAGUCC
This 426-nucleotide ribosomal RNA is filed under the name uncultured bacterium. RNAcentral's name for it is "bacterial SSU rRNA". It matches the Rfam family "Bacterial small subunit ribosomal RNA", at positions 354 to 796 of the family's 1533-position model. The record is from RNAcentral.